AUUGAACGCUGGCGGCAUGCCUUACACAUGCAAGUCGAACGGCAGCGCGGGGCAACCUGGCGGCGAGUGGCGAACGGGUGAGUAAUAUAUCGGAACAUACCCUAGAGUGGGGGAUAACGUAGCGAAAGUUACGCUAAUACCGCAUACGCACUAAGGUGGAAAGUGGGGGAUCUUCGGACCUCAUGCUCAUGGAGUGGCCGAUAUCUGAUUAGCUAGUUGGUGAGGUAAAGGCUCACCAAGGCAACGAUCAGUAGCUGGUUUGAGAGAACGACCAGCCACACUGGAACUGAGACACGGUCCAGACUCCUACGGGAGGCAGCAGUGGGGAAUUUUGGACAAUGGGGGCAACCCUGAUCCAGCAAUGCCGCGUGAGUGAAGAAGGCCUCGGGUU
Molecule: ribosomal RNA, 391 nt
Filed under: uncultured bacterium
Lineage: Bacteria
Description: bacterial SSU rRNA
Rfam family: Bacterial small subunit ribosomal RNA
Source: RNAcentral